Molecule: ribosomal RNA, 2812 nt
Filed under: Escherichia coli
Lineage: Bacteria; Pseudomonadati; Pseudomonadota; Gammaproteobacteria; Enterobacterales; Enterobacteriaceae
Description: 23S ribosomal RNA
Rfam family: Bacterial large subunit ribosomal RNA
Source: RNAcentral
GGUUAAGCGACUAAGCGUACACGGUGGAUGCCCUGGCAGUCAGAGGCGAUGAAGGACGUGCUAAUCUGCGAUAAGCGUCGGUGAGGUGAUAUGAACCGUUAUAACCGGCGAUUUCCGAAUGGGGAAACCCAGUGUGUUUCGACACACUAUCAUUAACUGAAUCCAUAGGUUAAUGAGGCGAACCGGGGGAACUGAAACAUCUAAGUACCCCGAGGAAAAGAAAUCAACCGAGAUUCCCCCAGUAGCGGCGAGCGAACGGGGAGGAGCCCAGAGCCUGAAUCAGUGUGUGUGUUAGUGGAAGCGUCUGGAAAGGCGCGCGAUACAGGGUGACAGCCCCGUACACAAAAAUGCACAUAUUGUGAGCUCGAUGAGUAGGGCGGGACACGUGGUAUCCUGUCUGAAUAUGGGGGGACCAUCCUCCAAGGCUAAAUACUCCUGACUGACCGAUAGUGAACCAGUACCGUGAGGGAAAGGCGAAAAGAACCCCGGCGAGGGGAGUGAAAAAGAACCUGAAACCGUGUACGUACAAGCAGUGGGAGCCUCUUAAUGGGGUGACUGCGUACCUUUUGUAUAAUGGGUCAGCGACUUAUAUUCUGUAGCAAGGUUAACCGAAUAGGGGAGCCGAAGGGAAACCGAGUCUUAACUGGGCGUUAAGUUGCAGGGUAUAGACCCGAAACCCGGUGAUCUAGCCAUGGGCAGGUUGAAGGUUGGGUAACACUAACUGGAGGACCGAACCGACUAAUGUUGAAAAAUUAGCGGAUGACUGGUAGAGCACUGUUUCGGCAAGGGGGUCAUCCCGACUUACCAACCCGAUGCAAACUGCGAAUACCGGAGAAUGUUAUCACGGGAGACACACGGCGGGUGCUAACGUCCGUCGUGAAGAGGGAAACAACCCAGACCGCCAGCUAAGGUCCCAAAGUCAUGGUUAAGUGGGAAACGAUGUGGGAAGGCCCAGACAGCCAGGAUGUUGGCUUAGAAGCAGCCAUCAUUUAAAGAAAGCGUAAUAGCUCACUGGUCGAGUCGGCCUGCGCGGAAGAUGUAACGGGGCUAAACCAUGCACCGAAGCUGCGGCAGCGACACUAUGUGUUGUUGGGUAGGGGAGCGUUCUGUAAGCCUGUGAAGGUGGCCUGUGAGGGUUGCUGGAGGUAUCAGAAGUGCGAAUGCUGACAUAAGUAACGAUAAAGCGGGUGAAAAGCCCGCUCGCCGGAAGACCAAGGGUUCCUGUCCAACGUUAAUCGGGGCAGGGUGAGUCGACCCCUAAGGCGAGGCCGAAAGGCGUAGUCGAUGGGAAACAGGUUAAUAUUCCUGUACUUGGUGUUACUGCGAAGGGGGGACGGAGAAGGCUAUGUUGGCCGGGCGACGGUUGUCCCGGUUUAAGCGUGUAGGCUGGUUUUCCAGGCAAAUCCGGAAAACCAAGGCUGAGGCGUGAUGACGAGGCACUACGGUGCUGAAGCGACAAAUGCCCUGCUUCCAGGAAAAGCCUCUAAGCAUCAGGUAACAUCAAAUCGUACCCCAAACCGACACAGGUGGUCAGGUAGAGAAUACCAAGGCGCUUGAGAGAACUCGGGUGAAGGAACUAGGCAAAAUGGUGCCGUAACUUCGGGAGAAGGCACGCUGAUAUGUAGGUGAAGCGACUUGCUCGUGGAGCUGAAAUCAGUCGAAGAUACCAGCUGGCUGCAACUGUUUAUUAAAAACACAGCACUGUGCAAACACGAAAGUGGACGUAUACGGUGUGACGCCUGCCCGGUGCCGGAAGGUUAAUUGAUGGGGUUAGCGGUAACGCGAAGCUCUUGAUCGAAGCCCCGGUAAACGGCGGCCGUAACUAUAACGGUCCUAAGGUAGCGAAAUUCCUUGUCGGGUAAGUUCCGACCUGCACGAAUGGCGUAAUGAUGGCCAGGCUGUCUCCACCCGAGACUCAGUGAAAUUGAACUCGCUGUGAAGAUGCAGUGUACCCGCGGCAAGACGGAAAGACCCCGUGAACCUUUACUAUAGCUUGACACUGAACAUUGAGCCUUGAUGUGUAGGAUAGGUGGGAGGCUUUGAAGUGUGGACGCCAGUCUGCAUGGAGCCGACCUUGAAAUACCACCCUUUAAUGUUUGAUGUUCUAACGUGGGCCCCUAAUCGGGGUUGCGGACAGUGUCUGGUGGGUAGUUUGACUGGGGCGGUCUCCUCCUAAAGAGUAACGGAGGAGCACGAAGGUUGGCUAAUCCUGGUCGGACAUCAGGAGGUUAGUGCAAUGGCAUAAGCCAGCUUGACUGCGAGCGUGACGGCGCGAGCAGGUGCGAAAGCAGGUCAUAGUGAUCCGGUGGUUCUGAAUGGAAGGGCCAUCGCUCAACGGAUAAAAGGUACUCCGGGGAUAACAGGCUGAUACCGCCCAAGAGUUCAUAUCGACGGCGGUGUUUGGCACCUCGAUGUCGGCUCAUCACAUCCUGGGGCUGAAGUAGGUCCCAAGGGUAUGGCUGUUCGCCAUUUAAAGUGGUACGCGAGCUGGGUUUAGAACGUCGUGAGACAGUUCGGUCCCUAUCUGCCGUGGGCGCUGGAGAACUGAGGGGGCUGCUCCUAGUACGAGAGGACCGGAGUGGACGCAUCACUGGUGUUCGGGUUGUCAUGCCAAUGGCACUGCCCGGUAGCUAAAUGCGGAAGAGAUAAGUGCUGAAAGCAUCUAAGCACGAAACUUGCCCCGAGAUGAGUUCUCCCUGAGACUUAGAGUCUCCUGAAGGAACGUUGAAGACGACGACGUUGAUAGGCCGGGUGUGUAAGCGCAGCGAUGCGUUGAGCUAACCGGUACUAAUGAACCGUGAGGCUUAACCUU